Molecule: ribosomal RNA, 801 nt
Filed under: uncultured crenarchaeote
Lineage: Archaea; Thermoproteati; Thermoproteota
Description: bacterial SSU rRNA
Rfam family: Archaeal small subunit ribosomal RNA
Source: RNAcentral
UGCGAGUCAUUGUAGUAAUACAAGGCAGACGGCUCGGUAACGCGUAGUCAACCUACCCUAUGGACGGGGAUAACCUCGGGAAACUGAGAAUAAUACCCGAUAGAACAUUAUGCCUGGAAUGGUUUAUGUUUCAAAUAAUUUAUUGCCGUAGGAUGGGACUGCGGCCUAUCAGUUUGUUGGUGAGGCAAUGGCCCACCAAGACUAUUACAGGUACGGGCUCUGAGAGGAGUAGCCCGGAGAUGGGUACUGAGACACGGACCCAGGCCCUAUGGGGCGCAGCAGGCGAGAAAACUUUGCAAUGUGCGAAAGCACGACAAGGUUAAUCCGAGUGGUUUCUGCUAAAGGAACCUUUUGUCAGUCCUAGAAACACUGAUGAAUAAGGGGUGGGCAAGUUCUGGUGUCAGCCGCCGCGGUAAAACCAGCACCUCAAGUGGUCAGGAUGAUUAUUGGGCCUAAAGCAUCCGUAGCCUGCUUUGUAAGUUUUCGGUUAAAUCCAUACGCUCAACGUAUGGGCUGCCGGGAAUACUGCAAAGCUAGGGAGUGGGAGAGGUAGACGGUACUCGGUAGGAAGGGGUAAAAUCCUUUGAUCUAUUGAUGACCACCUGUGGCGAAGGCGGUCUACCAGAACACGUCCGACGGUGAGGGAUGAAAGCUGGGGGAGCAAACCGGAUUAGAUACCCGGGUAGUCCCAGCUGUAAACUAUGCAAACUCAGUGAUGCAUUGGCUUGAUGCCAAUGCAGUGCUGCAGGGAAGCCGUUAAGUUUGCCGCCUGGGAAGUAUGUACGCAAGUAUGAAACUUAA